AGAGUUUGAUCAUGGCUCAGAAUCAACGCUGGCGGCGCGCUUAACACAUGCAAGUCGCACGAGAAAGGGGAGCAAUCCCUGAGUACAGUGGCGUACGGGUGAGUAACACGUGGAUAAUCUACCUUCUAGUGGGGAAUACCCCUGGGAAACCGGGGAUAAUACCGCAUAAGCUCGUAAGAGGAAAGCAGCAAUGCGCUGGAAGAGGAGUCCGCGGCUGAUUAGCUAGUUGGUGAGGUAAUGGCUCACCAAGGCGAAGAUCGGUAGCCGGCCUGAGAGGGCACACGGCCACACUGGCACUGAAACACGGGCCAGACUCCUACGGGAGGCAGCAGUGGGGAAUCUUGCACAAUGGAGGCAACUCUGAUGCAGCGACGCCGCGUGAGCGAUGAAGCCCUUCGGGGUGUAAAGCUCUUUCGACGGGAACGAUAAUGACGGUACCCGAAGAAGAAGCUGCGGCUAACUACGUGCCAGCAGCCGCGGUAAUACGUAGGCAGCGAGCGUUGUUCGGAAUUACUGGNNNUAAAGAGUGCGUAGGCGGUGCUCUAAGUCUGUUGUGAAAUCUCCCGGCUCAACUGGGAGGGUGCGGCGGAAACUAGAGUGCUAGAGUAUGGGAGAGGUAAGCGGAAUUCCUGGUGUAGCGGUGAAAUGCGUAGAUAUCAGGAGGAACACCUGUGGUGUAGGCAGCUUACUGGACCAUGACUGACGCUGAGGCACGAAAGCGUGGGUAGCAAACAGGAUUAGAUACCCUAGUAGUCC
This 756-nucleotide ribosomal RNA is filed under the name uncultured bacterium. RNAcentral's name for it is "bacterial SSU rRNA". It matches the Rfam family "Bacterial small subunit ribosomal RNA", at positions 8 to 796 of the family's 1533-position model. The record is from RNAcentral.